GGGUCGUCUCCCUUAUCCUGCGUCAUCGCCUGCCUCUUCUCCUCCCCUCCUUUCGUUUCGUUGCUCAAUCCUCUCUGUAGUCCUGCUCCCUGGUCCAUGAGUCGUCGCUGGGUUGGUCGCCGAGGGGCUCCGAUGGCGGCGCGCUGGGGUGACGUCGGCUAAGGUCCGUUGUUCUCCUCCUCACUUGGCCUAGAUUUGCUGUGCCGCUGGUCGAUCUAUGAUGGUCUUCGCGUUUUCAUCAGGAAACUACAGCUUGUUUCAGUUACAACUGAGUUCUUGGGUUGCACUUUGUUGUUGGAAACUACUUACUGGUGGA
Triticum dicoccoides is the source of this 316-nucleotide long non-coding RNA. RefSeq lists it as uncharacterized. The record is from RefSeq and is a predicted model, not a curated record. NCBI's taxonomy places the organism in Eukaryota, Viridiplantae, Streptophyta, Magnoliopsida, Poales, Poaceae. The transcript has 3 exons.